Molecule: ribosomal RNA, 784 nt
Filed under: uncultured Bacteroidota bacterium
Lineage: Bacteria; Pseudomonadati; Bacteroidota
Description: bacterial SSU rRNA
Rfam family: Bacterial small subunit ribosomal RNA
Source: RNAcentral
GGGUGCGUAACGCGUAUGCAACCUACCUUAUACAGGAGUAUAGCCCGGAGAAAUUCGGAUUAAUCCUCCAUGGUACUGAUAAACCGCAUGGUUUUUCAGUUAAAGCUUCGGCGGUAUAAGAUGGGCAUGCGUCCUAUUAGCUAGAUGGUAAGGUAACGGCUUACCAUGGCUACGAUAGGUAGGGGGCCUGAGAGGGUGGUCCCCCACACUGGUACUGAGACACGGACCAGACUCCUACGGGAGGCAGCAGUGAGGAAUAUUGGUCAAUGGGCGCAAGCCUGAACCAGCCAUGCCGCGUGCAGGAAGAAUGCCCUAUGGGUUGUAAACUGCUUUUAUUUGGGAAUAAACCUUUCUACGUGUAGGAAGCUGAAGGUACCAAAUGAAUAAGCACCGGCUAACUCCGUGCCAGCAGCCGCGGUAAUACGGAGGGUGCAAGCGUUAUCCGGAAUCAUUGGGUUUAAAGGGUCCGCAGGCGGAUUUAUAAGUCAGUGGUGAAAGCCUACAGCUUAACUGUAGAACUGCCAUUGAUACUGUAAGUCUUGAAUUCGGUCGAAGUGGGCGGAAUGUGUAGUGUAGCGGUGAAAUGCAUAGAUAUUACACAGAACACCGAUAGCGAAGGCAGCUCACUAGGCCUGGAUUGACGCUCAGGGACGAAAGCGUGGGGAUCAAACAGGAUUAGAUACCCUGGUAGUCCACGCUGUAAACGAUGAUUACUCGUUUUCGGCGAUAUACAGUCGGAGACUAAGCGAAAGUGAUAAGUAAUCCACCUGGGGAGUACGAUCGC